GACGUAGGGGGCAAGCGUUGUCCGGAUUCAUUGGGCGUAAAGAGCUCGUAGGCGGCUUGGCAAGUCAGAUGUGAAACCCUCAGGCUUAACCUGGGGCCGCCAUCUGAUACUGCUAUGGCUAGAGUACGGUAGGGGAUCGUGGAAUUCCUGGAGUAGCGGUGAAAUGCACAGAUCUUAGGAGGAACACCAGUGGCGAAGGCGGCGAUCUGGGCCGGUACUGACGCUGAGGAGAGAAAGCGUGGGGAGCAAACAGG
This 254-nucleotide ribosomal RNA is filed under the name uncultured bacterium. RNAcentral describes it as "partial 16S ribosomal RNA". It matches the Rfam family "Bacterial small subunit ribosomal RNA", at positions 524 to 776 of the family's 1533-position model. The record is from RNAcentral.